CAAUGGCGUAAACAGAGGGAAGCGAACCCGCGAGGGGAGCGGAUCCCAAAAAUAACGUCCCAGUUCGGAUUGUAGUCUGCAACCCAACUACAUGAAGCCGGAAUCGCUAGUAAUCGCAGAUCAGCAUGCUGCGGUGAAUACGUUCCCGGGUCUUGUACACACCGCCCGUCACACCAUGGGAGUCGGAAAUGCCCGAAGUCGGUGACCCAACCGAAAGGAGGGAGCCGCCGAAGGCAGGUCUGAUAACUGGGGUGAAGUCGUAACAAGGUACC
Molecule: ribosomal RNA, 272 nt
Filed under: uncultured bacterium
Lineage: Bacteria
Description: partial 16S ribosomal RNA
Rfam family: Bacterial small subunit ribosomal RNA
Source: RNAcentral